GCUCUCCACGUGAACCGGCUUCCGGGCCCGAUCGGCUUCACUCACCGUCUUCUUUGCGGCCACCAUCUUCCUGCCUUAGGUGCGGGACAACCCCCAACCUAGCAUACACAGAGGACAGAAGAGAGGAUUAUAAUCCAGAGCGUCAAACACCAGCUAGCGGAGCUCCCCGAGCCGCCUAAUCGUUUACCCCGCAGAGCUCACUCACCAACACCAGCCGCCAAGAUGGCCGGGGAGCGAGAAAGGAAGGAGCUCCCACAAUGCAAAGCUCUUCUAGGCCGACAGAGGAUUGUGGGACCGGAAGCGGAAGAGAAGCCGGUCCGGGUCACAAGCAGAACAGCGCUUGCGAGAGUAGUCUGCGGUAGUUGGUUGCUAUGGGGACCGGGUUACAACGCAGGCUGGGCUGCUGCGGCGUCUGGGCUCCGGCCUUCGGUUCUGGGCGUUUGUUCUGCUGCAGCGGGCUGACACCGCGGAGAGCCGGAGCUCGAUGGGAGCUGACGACGAGGCCCAGGGCUCCGUGGCGAGGCGGCAGCGACCUGGCCUCUCCUGGGCUGGUCUCCGCCUGACGUUGUCUUGGGCGUGCUCCGGAAGGACCCCGGGCCGCCGGUUUACCCCGUGACUGCUCACCAGGAGCGGAGGCAUCUCUGUCCACCCGCCGCUGAUCUUCCUGUUUGCCGCUCCGUAGGACACACACCCCUUUUGCGGCGGUUUUAUACCGUGUACUUGGGAGCCUACUUUGCACAGGGACCACAAUUGAAAAAAAAAAAAAAAAAACCUGGUGAAGUGGCUGACGGGUAAAUGCGCUUGUCGCUAAGUAGACGAAUGAGUUCCAAACCCACGUGGUGGGAGGGGAGCGCCAAGUCCAGCAGGUUUUUCUUUGGCCUGCGCUUGAAUGCUCACAUACGUAUACAGAAGUAAAGAAAUAGUCGCAAUACGAAUAAUUUAAAAAAUCAUUUUGCUACGAAACUUGGGCCGUUGUAUAAAUGUAGCAUUCAAGGAAAAAAAAAAAAAACCUUGAAAGCCUCUACUAUUUACGCACUAGCACCAACGAAAACCCAGGGCUGUUGAGAUUGUUCAGUCAGUAAAGUGUGCUUGCCUUGCAAGCGUGGGGACCUGCAUUUUAUGCCUAAACCUCUCUGUCAAUCCCCAGCCCCCAAAAGUCUGGCAUGGUUGUGCACACUUGUAACUCCAUUUGUGGAACAGAUUCCCCAAGGCUGGCUAGCCAGCCAACCUAGUCUAACCUGUCAGCUCCAGGUCUCAAAGAUCUUGUGAAAAAUAAGGUGGACAACUACCGAGUAAGUACCCAGAAGUUGACCUGUGACCUCUGCCCAACUGCACAAGCACCUGUGCCACCAAAUUUAUAUAAGCAUGAAAAAGGAAACCCAGGGUAGUAGGUAAGCUGUAUGGUGAGUUACUUUGCCCUGGAGGUUAGGAAAGGGAAGAACAACCCUGCCUCCCCUUAAUUAAAAUAACUUUAAAAACAUCCAUGAGUCAUGCGGGUCGAGAUGAUCUAUACCUAUAAUCCCACCCGGAGCUGGCAAUCUCUGUGAGUUGAUCUUUUGGAAAAAGAAAAAAAACGGAAACUAAAACAUAUUACUUAGCCAACACACACACUCUAUGAGAUAGUAACUGUGUUAUUCUCACAUUUUUACAGCUAGUGUAUUACAGAAGUAUGAAUAGAACCAGGCCUGCAAAUUAGGGUUUUUUGGUUUUUGUUUGUUUUGGUUGAGUCUUUUGAGACAGGAUUUCUCUGUCUGUCCUGGAACUCACUCUGUAGACCAGGCUGGCCUCGAACUCAGAAAAUCCAGAAAUUUUACAUUAAAAUUUAUUCAACUG
This 1833-nucleotide long non-coding RNA is filed under the name Mus musculus (house mouse). RNAcentral's name for it is "long non-coding RNA chr15:34442979-34444812". The record is from RNAcentral. Lineage: Eukaryota; Metazoa; Chordata; Mammalia; Rodentia; Muridae.